RNAcentral lists this ribosomal RNA (440 nucleotides) under uncultured bacterium. RNAcentral's name for it is "bacterial SSU rRNA". It matches the Rfam family "Bacterial small subunit ribosomal RNA", at positions 338 to 771 of the family's 1533-position model. The record is from RNAcentral.
CCUACGGGAGGCUGCAGUCGAGAAUUUUUCUCAAUGGGGGAAACCCUGAAGGAGCGACGCCGCGUGGAGGAUGAAGGUCUUCGGAUUGUAAACUCCUGUCAUUAGGGAACAAUGUGCAGACGUUAACUGCGUUUGCAUUGAUAGUACCUGAAGAGGAAGAGACGGCUAACUCUGUGCCAGCAGCCGCGGUAAUACAGAGGUCUCAAGCGUUGUUCGGAUUCAUUGGGCGUAAAGGGUGCGUAGGUGGCGGGGUAAGUCUGGUGUGAAAUCUCGGGGCUCAACCCCGAAACUGCACUGGAUACUGCCUUGCUAGAGUAUUGGAGAGGAGAUUGGAAUUUACGGUGUAGCAGUGAAAUGCGUAGAUAUCGUAAGGAAGACCAGUGGCGAAGGCGAAUCUCUGGACAAUUACUGACACUGAGGCACGAAGGCCAGGGGAGCAA